CGGGCACCGUGGCGUGGCAAGGUGGGGCACCCGCCACGAAGGGGUUGUUGUGGCUGUCGGUUGGCGUGGCAGAGCCCACGGGUGGCUGACGACGCACCGCGACCUGACUCGGCAUUGCGUCAAACAGGUGGCGCGCGCGGCGUGCUGCUGCUACUUGGCGCUGCACAACAAGGGAGCGAGCGAGCAGCAGCGAAGCCAACCACCAUGCACGGGAGGGGCUUGGCCAGAGCAGGGGAAAAAAUGAAGCUCGGACAUGGCUGCACUUGGGGAGGCGGCAUCGAGUCCCAAGGCAAUAUCUUGCGCAAGAAAAUAAAUCAGGGAGGGUAGGCGCUGCUCGACCAUAGGGAAGAAGAGGAGCCGGCUGGGUGGAAAGACGGACAGGGCGUUGUAGGGAUAUGGGAGCGGCUGCUCUCUGCUCUUGGGGAAGAAGGGCGACGCCGGCUGGGAGAGGGGGUUCGGCCAUGCCAAGAACAGAGAAAGAGGAGGGAGAUGUGCUGC
RNAcentral lists this unclassified non-coding RNA (498 nucleotides) under Zea mays. RNAcentral describes it as "misc RNA Zm00001eb423220". Lineage: Eukaryota; Viridiplantae; Streptophyta; Magnoliopsida; Poales; Poaceae. The record is from RNAcentral.